This is a long non-coding RNA of Felis catus (domestic cat), 697 nucleotides long. RefSeq lists it as uncharacterized. The transcript is spliced from 2 exons. The record is from RefSeq and is a predicted model, not a curated record. Lineage: Eukaryota; Metazoa; Chordata; Mammalia; Carnivora; Felidae.
UCUUCCGAGUAAGCUACAGAAUGUUAGCACAAGGUCUUUGUGACAUCUAUCCUGGUUAACAAAAGCCUGUUACAACCUUCUAUGGAGGAAUGAAUUCAUCCAUUCCUUGCGGUAUAAGGCAGGAUGGAGAGAAAACAAAGUGAAGUGUCCCUGGAGAUGGAGAGAACUUUCCUGGUAACCCCCUCACAAUGAGCACCUGUGGGGGCAGCAGGACCAGCAAAGGAAGACGAGCAGAGUAUAUAGAAUGUGUCUGAUCAAGCAGAUCACGGGAAAAGGCUGAGAAACAAGAUCCCUGGGAGUGGAGUCCAAUAGAUGUCAGCAUGCAAAGUCCUGAUAAGAAAUGAGAUGGUCACAACUUGAUGCCAUAAAGCAGCAAAUAGGAUCUCUGAGAAAUAGUGGGGGAAAUCUCAAGGGUAGGCUCUAGUGAAGGGGUGCAUCCUACUGCCAGGACCCCGGCAGGCUGUGGAGGGGGCUAAUCCUGCGUGUGGGGACAGCCCGGGGGACAUCUCCCCACACGAGGAUGGCCAGAAGAAAGGGAAAGAGAGGGAUGCCACCGAAGAAGGGUGGAAGGGAUAGAAAACCACCUUUGGAGGAGAGAGUUGCAUGUUAUUUCAGGAGAGGCUACAAUCCAGACCACUUCAUGACCCCAGAAACCACGCUACUGGCAUUCUAGAAUAAAACAGACCAAUCUACUGCA